UACGGGGGGAGCAAGCGUUGUUCGGAUUUACUGGGCGUAAAGGGCGCGUAGGCGGCCACCGCAAGUCGGUUGUGAAAUCUCUGGGCUUAACCCAGAAAGGUCAACCGAUACUGCGGGGCUAGAGUGCAGAAGGGGCAACUGGAAUUCUCGGUGUAGCGGUGAAAUGCGUAGAUAUCGAGAGGACCACCUGCGGCGAAGGCGGGUUGCUGGGCUGACACUGACGCUGAGGCGCGAAAGCCAGGGGAGCGAACGGG
RNAcentral lists this ribosomal RNA (254 nucleotides) under uncultured bacterium. RNAcentral describes it as "partial 16S ribosomal RNA". It matches the Rfam family "Bacterial small subunit ribosomal RNA", at positions 524 to 776 of the family's 1533-position model. The record is from RNAcentral.